Molecule: transfer RNA, 69 nt
Filed under: Paxillus rubicundulus Ve08.2h10
Lineage: Eukaryota; Fungi; Basidiomycota; Agaricomycetes; Boletales; Paxillaceae
Rfam family: tRNA
About the family: Transfer RNA (tRNA) molecules are approximately 80 nucleotides in length. Their secondary structure includes four short double-helical elements and three loops (D, anti-codon, and T loops).
Source: Rfam by way of RNAcentral
GGACUGGUAGCUCAGUUGAACAGACUGAUAUUAUGCUGGAGGCCACAGGUUCAAUCCCUGUCUAGUCCA